This 753-nucleotide ribosomal RNA is filed under the name uncultured marine haptophyte. Its description in RNAcentral is "bacterial SSU rRNA". It matches the Rfam family "Bacterial small subunit ribosomal RNA", at positions 550 to 1311 of the family's 1533-position model. The record is from RNAcentral. Lineage: Eukaryota; Haptophyta.
AUCAUUGGGCGUAAAGCGCCUGUAGGUUGUUUAAUAAGUCUGUUGUUAAAGACUAGGGCUUAACCCUAGAAAAGCAAUGGAAACUACUAGACUAGAGUAUGGCAGGGGUAGAGGGAAUUUCUAGUGUAGCGGUGAAAUGCGUAGAUAUUAGAAAGAACACCGGUGGCGAAAGCGCUCUACUGGACCAUUACUGACACUCAGAGGCGAAAGCUAGGGUAGCAAAAGGGAUUAGAUACCCCUGUAGUCCUAGCCGUAAACGAUGGAUACUAGAUGUUGUGCUUCCUGUACAGUAUCGUAGCUAACGCGUUAAGUAUCCCGCCUGGGGAGUACGCUCGCAAGGGUGAAACUCAAAGGAAUUGACGGGGGCCCGCACAAGCGGUGGAGCAUGUGGUUUAAUUCGAUGCAACGCGAAGAACCUUACCAGGACUUGACAUACUACGAAUUCUUUUGAGAAAAAGAAGUGCCUUCGGGAAUGUAGAUACAGGUGGUGCAUGGCUGUCGUCAGCUCGUGUCGUGAGAUGUUGGGUUAAGUCCCGCAACGAGCGCAACCCUUAUUUUUAGUUACUAAUUCGUUAGGUUCUCUAGAAAGACUGCCGGUGACAAACCGGAGGAAGGUGAGGAUGACGUCAAGUCAGCAUGCCCCUUAUGUCCUGGGCUACACACGUGCUACAAUGGUUAAGACAAAGAGUCGCGAGCUCGCGAGAGUCAGCUAAUCUCAUAAACUUAGCCUAAGUUCAGAUUGUAGGCUGCAAC